GGUUAAGCGACUAAGCGUACACGGUGGAUGCCCUGGCAGUCAGAGGCGAUGAAGGACGUGCUAAUCUGCGAUAAGCGCCGGUAAGGUGAUAUGAACCGUUAUAACCGGCGAUUUCCGAAUGGGGAAACCCAGUGUGACUCGUCACACUAUCAUUAACUGAAUCCAUAGGUUAAUGAGGCGAACCGGGGGAACUGAAACAUCUAAGUACCCCGAGGAAAAGAAAUCAACCGAGAUUCCCCCAGUAGCGGCGAGCGAACGGGGAGGAGCCCAGAGCCUGAAUCAGCAUGUGUGUUAGUGGAAGCGUCUGGAAAGGCGCGCGAUACAGGGUGACAGCCCCGUACACAAAAGCGCAUGUGCUGUGAGCUCGAUGAGUAGGGCGGGACACGUGGUAUCCUGUCUGAAUAUGGGGGGACCAUCCUCCAAGGCUAAAUACUCCUGACUGACCGAUAGUGAACCAGUACCGUGAGGGAAAGGCGAAAAGAACCCCGGCGAGGGGAGUGAAAAAGAACCUGAAACCGUGUACGUACAAGCAGUGGGAGCACAGGUUUACCUGUGUGACUGCGUACCUUUUGUAUAAUGGGUCAGCGACUUAUAUUCUGUAGCAAGGUUAACCGAAUAGGGGAGCCGGAGGGAAACCGAGUCUUAAUUGGGCGUUAAGUUGCAGGGUAUAGACCCGAAACCCGGUGAUCUAGCCAUGGGCAGGUUGAAGGUUGGGUAACACUAACUGGAGGACCGAACCGACUAAUGUUGAAAAAUUAGCGGAUGACCUGUGGCUGGGGGUGAAAGGCCAAUCAAACCGGGAGAUAGCUGGUUCUCCCCGAAAGCUAUUUAGGUAGCGCCUCGUGAAUUCAUCUCCGGGGGUAGAGCACUGUUUCGGCUAGGGGGCCAUCCCGGCUUACCAACCCGAUGCAAACUGCGAAUACCGGAGAAUGUUAUCACGGGAGACACACGGCGGGUGCUAACGUCCGUCGUGAAGAGGGAAACAACCCAGACCGCCAGCUAAGGUCCCAAAGUCAUGGUUAAGUGGGAAACGAUGUGGGAAGGCCCAGACAGCCAGGAUGUUGGCUUAGAAGCAGCCAUCAUUUAAAGAAAGCGUAAUAGCUCACUGGUCGAGUCGGCCUGCGCGGAAGAUGUAACGGGGCUAAACCAUGCACCGAAGCUGCGGCAGCGAACGUAUCACUUAAAGCGAUUCAGCGGGUUACGAUUGACGGAGCGAAGCGACGUCAAAGCGUAUACAAAGUCGAGUCGGUUUAAGGAUACGUUCGUUGGGUAGGGGAGCGUUCUGUAAGCCUGUGAAGGUGUGUCGUGAGGCAUGCUGGAGGUAUCAGAAGUGCGAAUGCUGACAUAAGUAACGAUAAAGCGGGUGAAAAGCCCGCUCGCCGGAAGACCAAGGGUUCCUGUCCAACGUUAAUCGGGGCAGGGUGAGUCGACCCCUAAGGCGAGGCCGAAAGGCGUAGUCGAUGGGAAACGGGUUAAUAUUCCCGUACUUGGUGUUACUGCGAAGGGGGGACGGAGAAGGCUAUGUUGGCCGGGCGACGGUUGUCCCGGUUUAAGCGUGUAGGUGUGUGUUCCAGGUAAAUCCGGUUCACUUUAACACUGAGGCGUGAUGACGAGGCACUACGGUGCUGAAGCAACAAAUGCCCUGCUUCCAGGAAAAGCCUCUAAGCAUCAGGUAACAUCAAAUCGUACCCCAAACCGACACAGGUGGUCAGGUAGAGAAUACCAAGGCGCUUGAGAGAACUCGGGUGAAGGAACUAGGCAAAAUGGUGCCGUAACUUCGGGAGAAGGCACGCUGACACGUAGGUGAAGUGAUUUACUCAUGGAGCUGAAGUCAGUCGAAGAUACCAGCUGGCUGCAACUGUUUAUUAAAAACACAGCACUGUGCAAACACGAAAGUGGACGUAUACGGUGUGACGCCUGCCCGGUGCCGGAAGGUUAAUUGAUGGGGUCAGCGCAAGCGAAGCUCCUGAUCGAAGCCCCGGUAAACGGCGGCCGUAACUAUAACGGUCCUAAGGUAGCGAAAUUCCUUGUCGGGUAAGUUCCGACCUGCACGAAUGGCGUAAUGAUGGCCAGGCUGUCUCCACCCGAGACUCAGUGAAAUUGAACUCGCUGUGAAGAUGCAGUGUACCCGCGGCAAGACGGAAAGACCCCGUGAACCUUUACUAUAGCUUGACACUGAACAUUGAGCCUUGAUGUGUAGGAUAGGUGGGAGGCUUUGAAGCGUGGACGCCAGUCUGCGUGGAGCCGACCUUGAAAUACCACCCUUUAAUGUUUGAUGUUCUAACGUGGACCCGUAAUCCGGGUUGCGGACAGUGUCUGGUGGGUAGUUUGACUGGGGCGGUCUCCUCCUAAAGAGUAACGGAGGAGCACGAAGGUUGGCUAAUCCUGGUCGGACAUCAGGAGGUUAGUGCAAUGGCAUAAGCCAGCUUGACUGCGAGCGUGACGGCGCGAGCAGGUGCGAAAGCAGGUCAUAGUGAUCCGGUGGUUCUGAAUGGAAGGGCCAUCGCUCAACGGAUAAAAGGUACUCCGGGGAUAACAGGCUGAUACCGCCCAAGAGUUCAUAUCGACGGCGGUGUUUGGCACCUCGAUGUCGGCUCAUCACAUCCUGGGGCUGAAGUAGGUCCCAAGGGUAUGGCUGUUCGCCAUUUAAAGUGGUACGCGAGCUGGGUUUAGAACGUCGUGAGACAGUUCGGUCCCUAUCUGCCGUGGGCGCUGGAGAACUGAGGGGGGCUGCUCCUAGUACGAGAGGACCGGAGUGGACGCAUCACUGGUGUUCGGGUUGUCAUGCCAAUGGCACUGCCCGGUAGCUAAAUGCGGAAGAGAUAAGUGCUGAAAGCAUCUAAGCACGAAACUUGCCCCGAGAUGAGUUCUCCCUGAGACUUAGAGUCUCCUGAAGGAACGUUGAAGACGACGACGUUGAUAGGCCGGGUGUGUAAGCGCAGCGAUGCGUUGAGCUAACCGGUACUAAUGAACCGUGAGGCUUAACCUU
RNAcentral lists this ribosomal RNA (2989 nucleotides) under Salmonella enterica subsp. enterica serovar Infantis. Its description in RNAcentral is "23S ribosomal RNA". It matches the Rfam family "Bacterial large subunit ribosomal RNA". RNAcentral also lists the same sequence under 1 other name. The record is from RNAcentral. Lineage: Bacteria; Pseudomonadati; Pseudomonadota; Gammaproteobacteria; Enterobacterales; Enterobacteriaceae.